AGUCUUAUAAAUAUCUCAAAAACUUAAUCAUACCUACAAUGCUCCCAAAACCUGGUGAGACUGAGUCAUAAGCUCUACAGAAUAUUCUAAAACACCUAAUACAACACUGUCUAAUAAAAGAAACAAUAAUACUGAAAAGCUAAUGGAAUGUGACUCCGAGAUCUAUGGACGCCGAGCAGAUAUACCUUGAUGUAUAUGAGAAACAACUACAAAUCAAGCACUAAUGUCCAGCACGGGAAGACGUACCUGGAUCUGCACAAAAAUAUUUGCAGAAGCGUAGUAUGAGUACACCACAACGAUAUCCAGUAAGUAUCAAGCCUAACCUCGGUAGAGUAGUGACGAGGCUAGGUCAAGACACCUACUAGGACAUGAAUAACAGAGAAAAAUUAUAAUAACAAGGAGUAAUGGAAAACAGAGAAAUAAAUGUUGACGAAGCAAGUUAAUAACGUAGACUAAUGAUAGUAUUGUAAGCAUAAAGAUAACAAGAAAGAAGCAAACAAUGAGAACUACAACAGUCAAAUACCGACAAAACUGAUAAGACAAGGAAGAAUAAAAGCAACAAGAACUAUUCAACCAAUAACUUGUUUCAACAUGAAAUGCACAACAAGAAUCACAACCGAGGUACCACCUUGUAUUCACUUUUCACAAUUUCAAUCACAAUAUUUCCUUAUAUCACUGCAGGAGACUUACAUUUAGUUUUAAAGAUCAUUUUUCCCGAAAUAUCUACCCACAUUUUAGCCCACUUUAUUACACCGCACGGCUUCAAGUAGUUCUCCUACUAGCAACACACGUAUCAAGCCCACCUUAUCUCACCGCAUAUGUAUCAACCCCUAGCCUUAUACCACCGCAUGCGUAUCAAUAUAGCAACAUAAUCACAAAUCACACCUCAAGUACCCAAAUUCCACCACUUGCCAAAAGAAUCAACAAUAUCAAUGUUUCCACAACAAAUAACCCAUGGCGCAACCACAAUGUGCACAAGAAUUUCAACAAUAACAAAAUAAAUGUAAAUUUUUCAACAAAAAAAGUAUCUCAAUAAUUAACAACUUCACCUCAACGUGAUAACGGUUUUCAUAACUUAAACACCAAUAAUUUAAGAAGAAUAUAUUCCAUGAAUAACUACUUCAAGUAAGUAAUUCAACAAUUAAAGAAGCAACAUGAAAAUAAAGAAGGAAAUAACUUCAACUAAAGCAUAUAAAAGCACAUUAGCAUGUAAGAGGUGAAACAAGGGUUAACAAUGUCAAAUAAAGCACGUAAGGGUAGAUUAACACAUGUAAAGGUAGAUUAACAAUGAAAGAUGUAACAUGUUAUGACAACUGGAAAAGAGUCUAAAUGUCUUAAACCAAUCAAAUACAAAAUAUAGCCCGUAUACCAACUCAUCACUUUCCGUGCAUGACUUUCACAUAACAUAAUCUGCACAAACAAACCAAUUCCUAAGGGGUAGUUUUUCCACACAAAGUUAGGAAAGAUACUUACCUCAACUAGGCCAAGUCAACCCUCAAAAAUAGAUUUUCCCCUAAAAUUCGCCUCCUCAUGGCUCAAAUCUAACCAAGAUUGACUUAAUAUCAUCAAACAAUGCAAGAAAAAAUAAUUACAAUAGAUAAAGUUGUGAUCUUUGUAAAAUUUUCAAAAAGUCAACAAAAGUCAACCCGGGCCCGCCCGGUCAAAAGUCGGGUCCAACGGUAGAUUCCUACAACCUAUAACCCAUGAGUCCAUAUAUGUGAUUAGUUUUCAAAUCCGAGUCCAAAUCAACUCUCGAAACUCAAUUUCUCAUUUUCUUAAACUUAGGCAAAAUUUCACAAUUUUUCACUUUGAUUCACAUGAAUUUGACGUUUAAUCUAAGAUAUUUUAAUGAAAUAUGAUUGAAAAUUGAUUAGAAUCACUUACCCUAUGUUUGUAGGUGAAUUUCCCCUCUCCAAAUCACCUCAUACCGAGUAUAGGGUUCUAAAAUUGAGAAAUGAGAUAAAAUCCGGACUUCCCAACUGCAGAUGUCGCAUUUGCGACACAAGAUUUGCAUUUGAGAACCCUCGCAAUUGCGAAACAGGGAUCACAUUUGCGAACCCUAACAGCCAGGUUCAUUUCAUGGUUUCCUUACUACAUGGAUCAAUGAAGAACAAUCUUCCUAACAUACUUAAAAGGUUCGUUGCAUGGUUUCCUUAUUUAUCGAAUCAUUACAGAGAACCCAUAAGGGUUAUUCUAUUAUAACUACAUAAGCAGGAUGCUAAUAAGAAUCAACAGGUCAACAUAAAGGUAGGAACUAAACCAAAUAGCAGAGCAUUACAGAUUUUAAGAUGAUUUAGUGUUAGCAAGUGUUAAUAGUACUCUCAAGAAGAGCUUAAGUAAUUUUAGAACUAGUUACUUAACUAACAUGUUACAUAAAACAUAGGAUAAAGCCUUAACUGAGUAUGGGAAUAAUAGUUAUUCACAGAUUGCGGGAUAUAUAGAACAAGCAGGUUAUCACAUUUAUCGUCUAAGACUGUUAAGGUAGAAAGUAUGAAUGCAAGUCAUAAACACACAAGGAAUCUACUUAUAAGACCGAUACGAGGUCUUAAGUAAGAGGGUCAGAUAAUCUAGAGGUGCGAAAACAUAAAAAUAAGUUUAGGAGCAUGAUUUCCAUUAGCUUAGCUGCCCUAACAAUAUUGUUUAAUUAAUAGAGGUAAACUACAUAAAAUUAGCACAAAGAUUUACUUAACUUAAUCAUAGAGGUUCAGUGAGGCAAAAUCAUUAGAAUACUACUUAGUUGGAGUCAUUUUUACUAAUUGAAUCAUGAAAGAUAAGGUUAAAUUAUACAAAUUCGAUAACAACAUCAAUAUAGCAUAUCUUAACAAGAAAGUGUCUAAGUUAAAGUGGAAAUCUCAUGCAAAGACUGGUCAUAACAAACACAAUUUCAUACCAUCAACAACUAACAUAAAUGAUAGAAAAUCAGUUAAGAAAUCACCAGAACACAGAACCAUACGACUAACUCAAAGUAAAAGAGAGCGGUCAAGAGGCACUGACCUUCUGCAGGGCAACAAACCAAGUAGAGGCAAUUCAACAGACGUUUAAGGAUCCAAACUCAAGUCUAACAAUAGCUGAACUCACAUCGGAGAAUGAAAGAGAAAGGAAACAGAAAAAUCAGAGAGUAUUACUGGACUAGUGAGAAAAAUCUCAAAUUUUAAUCCUUUUCUUUUAUUUUGUAUUUCUGAUAGUAUUAAAUGCCUGUUAGGUGAAGAUAUUUAAUACCCCUUUUAUAGUUGCAUUCAAGCCUUAGGUUCCGAUUGAUUUGAAAUUGGUAGUAGAAUGUGACGACACUCGAGUGAUGAUAGCAAAUAGAGGUGAAAUUGGUGAAGAACGUAGAAAAAAAUAACAUGGAUUUACUUGGGCUCGAGGAUAUGGCCAUUGAAGGCGAAGACCCAUCAGACAAAAUCCCAACAUCCAGAGGUCACUAUAUUUGCCCUCUAGGCAAAGAAUAUGAUAAUGGAGUCAAAGACACGGUCAUGCAUGCCAUAGAUUUGAAAGAACGAUGGGAGAACAGAUGGUUCACAGUAGCACGAUUUAGGUCUAGGGUUUAGAUCAGGGCUUUUGAAGUUUGGUUAUAAAGAUGGAAGUACGGGGUUUGAAUCUGUAACCUUGCAUAAAUUUGUAUGAGGAUUUGUGAUUGACGGGGUUGAUGGGGAUGAGAGAAAAGAGAGAGAAUUGGGAAAGAGAGGCAGCUAGGUGGGGUUGAGAAUGAAUGAGGGUUUCAGCGUCUCUAAGGUUUAAAGUGCAUUAAUGAAUCUGGGUCGUUAGAUCGUUCGAUCAACAACCCUGAUAUUUUAGAGUAUAAAAUUAAUAAAAGUUUUAUUAUGAG
This 3826-nucleotide long non-coding RNA is filed under the name Nicotiana tabacum (common tobacco). RNAcentral's name for it is "long non-coding RNA (NTAB_LNC010702)". Lineage: Eukaryota; Viridiplantae; Streptophyta; Magnoliopsida; Solanales; Solanaceae. The record is from RNAcentral.